RNAcentral lists this long non-coding RNA (1101 nucleotides) under Cricetulus griseus (Chinese hamster). Its description in RNAcentral is "lncRNA (ENSCGRG00015035130.1)". The record is from RNAcentral. Lineage: Eukaryota; Metazoa; Chordata; Mammalia; Rodentia; Cricetidae.
CGCGGGCUGACCCUCCGGACCUGGCAAGGCGUGCGACUAGGCGGGGCACCGAAGGCGCAGGCCUUUGGGGAAGCAUGGGGCGCGGGAGCCUGGGAGACGAGGCUGCGGGAUCACGCACCCGGACCGCAGCUCCGCGCCUGCCGAGUGUGACCCCGAGCUCCGAAGAAUCCAGGCCUUUUAGACCCCGUGCAGGCUGUGGGCCUGGUUGAGAACCAGUAAAAAGCUGCUCUCCCUGAAGCUGAAUUUGACUUGCCAUUUGUGAACUCAAAAAAAAUGGGACAGUGAAAAAUGCCCUCGGCAUAUCUUAAAGACCUUCUCCUGAGAUUAUCUGCUAUGAGAUCUAACCGUUCUGGGCAGGAAGAGGAAACACUGACAUUUUCUUUUGUUAACUAAGGGUCACUCCCUUCCUCCCCUCUCUCCACGAGGGAAACCUUAAAGGCACAGAGAACAGUUUGAUCAUGAACUACUGCUAAAUGUUUUCACUUCUCGGGUCACUGUUGCUGUGAUGAAAGGCCAUGACCAGAAGCAGCUUGGGGAAGGAAAAGCUUUAUUUCACUUACAGUUCCAUACAACAAUUCAUCAUCAAAUGCACUGAGGGCAGGAACCCAAGCGGGGCAGGAACCUGGAAGAAAGGAGUUGAAGCAGAGGCCAUGGAGGAGUGCUGUUUAUUGGCUUGCUUCACAGGACUUGCUCAGCUUGCUUUCUUAUAGACCACGGGUGGCCUAAUCCACAAUGAGCUGUGCCCUCCCACGUCCAUCAUUAAUUAAGAAAAUGCUUUAUAGACCUGCCUACAGCCUGAUCUUAUGGUGGCAUUUUCUUAACUGAAGUUUCCUUCUCUCAAAUGAAUCUAGCUUGUGUCAAGUUGACACAAACUAACCAGCACAUAACCCCAACCUGAUAUAAAAUGAUGCCCUAUUUGUUAAGUAUUGGCAGCCUGGAUGCUGGGAAGUAGGGGGCAAGUCUUGCUCAUGGACUUAAAUCUCUGUGACAGGAUUACUUUCCCCCUCUUUGUAGGGGGGGGACUGCAGUCAGAUUCUAAAUAAUUUGUUUUAGCAGAUGGUACAUGUAUUCAAUGCCAGUUCUAUGCUUGGUCACAUGGAG